CACACACACACAUACACACACACUUACACACACACACACACACACACACACAUCUCUCUUUUCCUAGAUUCUGUUUUUGCAACUUUUUUUAGUGCUAAAAUUAUUUUCAAUCACAAAUCAACACUUGAGGUGUAUUUGUAGUCAUUCAAGGCUGAAACGUGGAAUCAACCUGUUUGUGUUUCCAGCCGAGAUUGGACAGGAAAGUGGUCUGAUGCAAUUUAUGUACUGUGAAUCAAAGCCUCAAAAUGGCAAAGAAGAAAUGAAGAGGGCCUGGCAUGAAAUACUGCAGCAAUAUUCAGAGAAAACCAAAGAAAAACAAAUGAGAAGCUGAUGCCUUUUACUUAUAAGCAAAGGAUCAGGAGGGGAUCAACUGGCCAACUGUACCUGCUGGCAGUAAUUAGGUCAGGCAGCCGAGAAAAUGAAACACUGUGGUUUGAAAUUUUAUAUUUCUUAAUUUUUCAUGGAAUUGGUCAGUGAACAUGUGCCUCCAUUCAGCGUGCGCCUGCCGCGUGCCUGGAUUUUGUACAGGAAUGUGGCACCUCUAGAUGCAAGGAAGCUGCUGGGCUCUGAUUCAAUCCCUCGGCUGGUUGAUGUGACACUGAUGUGACCACCUGUGGCAUGUGAGACUGGACCAAGAGUAUGCAGGAGCUCAAGUACAAUGGUGAAUUGUUUCAUUCUCCCAAAUACAACAUACAAAUGAGAACAGAGAGCACACAAUGAAACAAAACAAACCUUCACCGCAGUACAUGUGCUCAGGUAGUGCUCACUUCCAAGCCAGCUAGAGAAUGGAGGGGCACAUGGUUCCAAUUUCUCUAUAUGAAGACAAUAGAGGAAAUCCAGCUUUUUAGAAGAUGAGUCUAAAGCUUGGGCAUUAGCCACCUCACCAAUGUUUUCUUCCCAAACACAUUGAAGAAUUUCAAUUUCCUGUGCGCUUCUCUGAAUUCACAUUGCUGCUUUUGCUGUUAUAUAUUUGCCCCUGUCUUCAUCACCAGGCAGCCCCCAGAGCUGAAUGUGGCAUUUAAGGGAUAUUCUUAUGUGGCUUUCCCCAUGCUGCUUCAUAAAUAACUUUAUCUUUCACCCUGGCACUCACCACCUUGUAUAGAAAUCUCCUGUAAAUCCUGUGAAAUUUAAUUGCAAACAUUCUUAAUGAAUCUGAACUUUCUAAA
Long non-coding RNA from Cavia porcellus (domestic guinea pig), 1166 nucleotides. RefSeq lists it as uncharacterized. The record is from RefSeq and is a predicted model, not a curated record. Lineage: Eukaryota; Metazoa; Chordata; Mammalia; Rodentia; Caviidae. The transcript is spliced from 2 exons.